This is a long non-coding RNA of Capsicum annuum, 2276 nucleotides long. RefSeq lists it as uncharacterized. NCBI's taxonomy places the organism in Eukaryota, Viridiplantae, Streptophyta, Magnoliopsida, Solanales, Solanaceae. The transcript is spliced from 7 exons. The record is from RefSeq and is a predicted model, not a curated record.
UUGGGUGAUUCAUCUCCCCAGUAGUAAAUACUUAUCCAAUUCUUUCCCAAUUUGUGAAAGAAGGCUAAAGUUUUCUAUAUAAAGAAGUAGUCACUAUUCACAAACUUCCCAAAGUUGUCAUCAUCUUCCUGUAAUUUACCUCCAAAUAUUACUCAUCUCGUGAAUAUGUAUAUUCCCAACUGCCUCAAUUCAUUGUUAGGGUUUUGCGUUGCUUCAACAUCCUUUAAUUUGUUGAAAUUCAAAGGGAGUGACAAAGAUCAUAUUCACAAAGUUAUUACAACUAUUCUUCAAGGACAGAGACAUGUCAGUGAAUGGCGUCAGCUUAGAUGUUUAACCUUAUGGGGAUGCUAAGGAAGAUGGAUGUAUUGGCCUUUGUUUAAAUAUAAAUUGAGAUGAUAAAUUAUUAUUUGAUUAACCGUGGUGUCCGUGUCAGAUUUCGCGCACCUUGACUAAAUCCACUUGAAAGAUAUCAAGUAACUCUGUCCACUAAGAUUGGGAUAGAUAGGGAAGAAUCACCUAGUGUUUUUUGACUUUGCUGGGAUUUGAACUUGGAAUCUUAGGUUCUCAACCCAUUUCAUUGAUUAUUAGGCCACGCUCUUUCGUGCUAUUGAAAUGAUAUAUUAACAAAUCUAUACCUUUUGUAUAGAUAUUGCAUGAUACCAUGUCCAUACAUACACAAAGGUUGAGCUAAUACCAUUGAUGUAAGGGUGACUUACUCGUUCUUUCCAUUGAUGUUCUAUGCAAUUUUCUGCUGUGGGUUCUCCAAGCAUUUUGUUUGAUCUUAUCCAUACAAGUUUGUCUUUUGUACAAAAAGCUUUUCUCAGCUUAAGGUUUCCUUGGUUGUCUUUGUAGAGUAAAAAAGGGCAGCCCGGUGCACUAAAGCUACCGCUAUGCACGGUGUUCGGGGAAGGGCCCCACCACAAGGGUGUAUCGUACGCAGCCUUACCUUGCAUUUCUGCCUGAGGCUGUUUCCAAGGCUUGAACCCGUGUCCUCCUGGUCACAUGACAACAACUUUACCAGGGCCAAUGAUAUGGCCUAGGGACUCUCUGACAGAUACGGAGAUGCUAUGUCUAUACUCAGUAGCUACGAGAUUAAGGCCAGCACUGCAGCUGUGUCUGAUGCCAUAUUUACAAAGUAUAGUGAUUUUACAGUCAACUGAUUUCGGAUGCAGUGUCUGCCCUUCUUGAGAUAUCAAGGAAGCAUGGGAUGAUAACAACACGAUCAUUAAGUGGGCAGUCUCAAAGGGGAUGUAACACAGGUAAAACAAGCCGCUAAGGAGAUGGAACACAGGCAAAACAAGCUGCUAAAGGAGAUGAAACACAGACAAUGAAGCAUAAUAUGGUCUUUCCACCUGUUCAUGAAAAUACUGUUUACAAGAAAGGCAACUUAUGUGUACGUGAACGAAUGUGUACACAUCUCGUCUUCCAUCAAGCUGUCCUCAAAGAUAAAGCUUAAGCUCCUUUAUGAGAUAGUCAGAAGCUCUUCUUGUUUUGCUGAUUAAUUGUUGAUCUAAAGGUGAUAAGUAAAGGGAGAGAGUGAUCAAUUUGGGAAUGGAGCAUCAAAAGCACAGCUGGAGAAUGCAGCCAAAAAAGAACUAGAUUCAGAAGCUACUCAUGCUUCAAGGAAGAGAGCUUGGAAACCUAAUUUUUUGAAUAAACCAGAUGAAGGAUAUGAUCAUGCUUGGUCAAGUGGAGGAAGGAGAUCAAAAGCCCAUAAUCUCUUGAAGGGUCGUGGAAAACCAUACUAAAAUAGACAAGUAGCUGUUCACAAGAAGACAGACCGCUCUACCACCGAGCUAUGGAGAAACAACAGGAGAUUCGAUCUCAUAGAGUUCAGCGCCAUCUAUUUUCGUUGUUCAAAUCUGUGACGACACAAAAAAACCAUUGUUAAAACUCUCUGACAACAUGAAAAAAAUCAAAUGCUCUGCCCUCCCUCUCUAUCCAUCCAAGUGAUUGUAAUAAGGCAGAGGCGGCUGUUGGCGUCCCCUCCAGUCAAGAAUUGGGCCCUCGCAAUAACUAGCUGAUAUUCUUCUCUCAUGUCUUUCUUUGUUCAUGGUUCAGUAAACAUUUAUUAUUACUAAGUAGAGCCCAACACAAUUAUUGACGUUCUCUUUUGUUUCUUGCUGUUGGUAUAAUCCCGUUACUGCAUAUGUGAGGUGUCAUUGAUGGAGUGGAAUGCACUGUGUAAGGAGUUCUUCUGUUUUCUUUGUUGGUCUGCGAAGGCCUGCUAGGCUUCUGAUAUAACUUUUGUCUUAUAUUACAUUUGAUCAUAGCAA